AGUGAACGCUGGCGGUAGGCCUAACACAUGCAAGUCGAACGGCAGCACAGUAAGAGCUUGCUCUUACGGGUGGCGAGUGGCGGACGGGUGAGGAAUACAUCGGAAUCUACUUUUUCGUGGGGGAUAACGUAGGGAAACUUACGCUAAUACCGCAUACGACCUACGGGUGAAAGCAGGGGAUCUUCGGACCUUGCGCGAUUGAAUGAGCCGAUGUCGGAUUAGCUAGUUGGCGGGGUAAAGGCCCACCAAGGCGACGAUCCGUAGCUGGUCUGAGAGGAUGAUCAGCCCCACUGGAACUGAGACACGGUCCAGACUCCUACGGGAGGCCGCAGUGGGGAAUAUUGGACAAUGGGCGCAAGCCUGAUCCAGCCAUACCGCGUGGGUGAAGAAGGCCUUCGGGUUGUAAAGCCCUUUUGUUGGGAAAGAAAAGCAGCAGGUUAAUACCCCGCUGUUCUGACGGUACCCAAAGAAUAAGCACCGGCUAACUUCGUG
RNAcentral lists this ribosomal RNA (492 nucleotides) under uncultured bacterium. RNAcentral describes it as "partial 16S ribosomal RNA". It matches the Rfam family "Bacterial small subunit ribosomal RNA", at positions 29 to 507 of the family's 1533-position model. The record is from RNAcentral.